Long non-coding RNA from Numida meleagris (helmeted guineafowl), 4055 nucleotides. RefSeq lists it as uncharacterized. NCBI's taxonomy places the organism in Eukaryota, Metazoa, Chordata, Aves, Galliformes, Numididae. The record is from RefSeq and is a predicted model, not a curated record. The transcript is spliced from 4 exons.
UGUGCUUUUAUUUUGGGAGCUUGCUCCUACAAUUUAUGAAUCCUAAAAGAUCAAAGAGGGGAAAUAUACUUUAGAAAUUUAAGUUACUCAGUAUAUUAGAGGAUCAAGCUAUCAUGCAAGACAUAUAACAAUUAGUUGAAAAUGGUUUGGUCCUUGUGAAUUUCAUCAUCUUGGUAGAAUUAUAAAUCAGAGGCAAGUAUCUAUAAAUGUAACCUAUGGAGGGAUAUAGACUCCACACGAGUAUGCUUGAUCAGCUUAUUUGGCACUGUGGUUUAGGUAGAGUGACAUUACAUAAUAUGUGAUGACUUUGUUCUGACGUCUUCUCAUCACAAAGGAUUGAUGGACCAAAGUCACAGAAAUGUCAUUGGUGAUAAAUUCAAGCUAGGCUUUAAUCUUUCUCACUUGAUGUAACAUCAAAGAGGAAUAACACAGCCUGCAAGAUACUUUAGACAACUUAUUAAAGAAAAAGGAUCCACAACUGACAGUUUGAGUGAAAAUUGUAUUGAUAAUUUAAGGUACAUUUUCCUUCUGAGUUAGUAGGGAUUUCACAGAUAAAGGUUCCAGCUAACCAGAAUUUCAAGAAAAGCAAACCCCUGUAUUUCUGUAGUUAACAUACGUCUUAUCUCUCAAGCAGAUUUAAUCUUAUCGUUAAAAGGGCCUUGAAAAAGUGGUAUGUUCAGUAUCUAAUUUGAGUAUUAAAAGUAUAGUUAUUACUGAGAACAAUGCUGAUGACAGCUUUUUUAUCAAAAUCGAGCUGAUGUAUUUAGUCCUUAAAAGCUUCAGGUAUCUGCUUUAAGUGCCAGAAAGAAAGCUGAAGUUGUCCUUUGAUCCUUCAGUAGGUAAAAACAGAUUCACUGAGGCUAAAAAGAAAUACAUGCAUCUGAAUGAGUAGAGACUUAUCAAAGAAUAAAUAUGUUUGGGAAGAAAUCAAAAUAUCUUCACACAACUGCUACAGGUCCUUGUUGUCUGGAGACAGGAGUGGUACCCUCAGGCUGAAAGACUGCCUGGACUUCAACUUGAGUAUAAGAGAGAAGUGUGCCAACCCUGUAGAUUCACAGGCUCAGCUGGAUUUCUUUACACGUACUAUGAAAAGAAACAUCGUUUUUUAGAAAUCAUGAAUUUUCUCUGAAAUAGACUCAAAGACUCAUAGAAUCAUCCAGAUUGGAGAAGACCUCUAAGAUCAUCUAGACCAACCAUCAACCUAUCCCCACCAUGCCCAAUCCCAGCAAGGUCUCAGGGAGGAAGUCUCUGUAAAUCUUUUUAAUAAACCAUUUUUCCCUAGUUUGGCCACAAGGAUGUCGUGCAGGACAGUGUCAAAUGCUUUGAACAAGUCCAGAUAGAUAGUGUCAGCUGCUCUUCCUUUAUCUACUGAUGCUAUAACUCCAUCAUAAAAGGCCACCAAACUUGUUAGGCAUGACUUACUCUUGGUGAAGCCAUAUAAAACAAUAUCUGUAUCUUUGCCAAGCCUUUAGUUUGUUGGAAUCACACAAGAAUAUGAAAUUAAAAUAAAACUUUAAGAAUUGGAGUGCAUAAGUUAAAGCAUAAAAAUUGUAAUGGUUAGUACUCUGAGCAUACGCUGGUCUCUCUGCCUCAAUGGAGGCACCUACCUCCAUACUGACGUUCAGCAUUUUCAACAAUAUGUCUUAAUUUUGCACCAAAUCUCACACGCCUUUUUCACAUGACUAUCCUGCUGAAUGUCAGCAGAACUGCAUCUAUGAAUAACAUUAUAAAAUUUGAUAGCUGAUUUUGAGGUUCAUGAGAUUUCAAUUCUGUGUAGAUACUAUGCUUCUGUAUGGUGCCAUAAAUUAGUAAUAAUUGUUCAGGAAUUUAUUUUCAACUAUUGUUAAAAUAUUAUUGAAAUAUGAUAAUUGCAGAAAGGGAGGAAAAGAGCUGUAUCUAGAACAGGCUAAAAAGCAUUUUUCUUCUGCUUACUGCUCAAUUUCUGGUUAGAUUUUUCUAUUCUUUAACACUGUGAAAUGUAGUCCUGUAUACUGAUAAGCAAUAAUACAUUGGUAGUAAAUUCAAGACACAAUAGAAUAAAUUUUCAAUGAGUGGUGCUUGAUAAGGCAGGAUACUUGUCCCUAUUCAGGUACUUGUACUAUUUUUGGUCAAGGUCUUUCGAAAAAUAUUAGGAAGUAGAAUACACAAAUUGAGUGUACACAAAAAAAAAGUCCUAAUGAGUACAAUGAUACUGUAGUCUGUCUUGUUGUUUGCAUUUCAAAGAUUCAUAUACAUUUAAAAAAGUAUUCUCACUAUAGCUAUGAUGUAAAAAGUUAUUUCAUUUUUCAUUCAGUCUUUGUAAUUAACAUUUUUAUAAAUCUGUACAACUAUCUUCGGAAAAGAGAAAAUGCACAACGCCUCUUCAACAAUUGAUAAUAGAAAAUACAAUGAACUGCUAAAGAAUUAGAUUCUUAGAUCUCUGAAUGAACAUCUGCAGAUCCUGAAUAUUUGCUUAUAACAGUUUCAGAGUAUCUGAGGGAGAAAAUAGUAAUUUCUUGCUUUUGACUACUUAACAGUGCAAGAGAAAACAGUUCUGGGUUUUAUUUGUCUGUUGGAUUAUCAAUGAUGGAAUUACGGACGAAAUAUUUUUUAUUUAGCAAUCGUCAAUCUGUGUUAAAAUUUUUGUUUGCUUGUUUGUUUUUAAUUUCACCUAUUUUUCUUCUUUAAAAGUAAGUUGGGAAAACACCAUUGAACUAAGAACUGUUUUCCAUUUGAUGAUAGUUACAAUAAUAGGGAAGAAGGCUGGAGAAGUUUCCUCUUUUUAGGGGACGUGUUUACACAAAGCUCUUGAGUACCUCAGUGCCUUAAGUGUGUUGGUAUUUUGUUUGUUUGUUUGUUGACUUGGUUUGGUUGUUGCUGCUUGUUAGUAAAAAAGUGCAUGUUCUUUUCUCUUUUGAAAGGCUCCAGUGUCCAGCCAGUUCAGAAUUUUUCUAGUAUAGGUCUUUCCUUGCAGUUAUUUUGUGCUUGUGGAGCAAGAGAAAAAAGUAUUCUAUCCUUGAAUUUAAAAAAAUAAUAACAAAAAAUGCAUGAGUAGCGUUAUGUAGAGAAUUAGUAUUGUGAUCCUCCCUUGUUUACAGGCAAAGAGAUAAUAAAUCUAUAUUUUUUGUGUGCAAAUCUCCUCUUCUAAGGUUGCAAAGAAUUUCAAGUCAAACAAAACCAAAACAAAUAAAAAACUACUUUUUGUCUGAAUGUUAAAAUAACUCCAAAUAAUUGUCUAGUCUACUAAAAUUAAUUGAAUAAUCUGUUCACCUCAGUUUGAAGUUAUAUGUCAGAACCACAUUUGACCCCUUGGCAGAUAGAUGUCAAUCAUGACAGAGUGUAAGAGAAGAAAAAAACAAAAUUUCAAUCAAACAUCCAAAGAGAUUAUGCGGACAGAAGAUAAAAAUAGCUUCCUACUGAAUCUUGUAAUAUAGUCCUCCUGCUUUUUACUAGGAAUAUUCCCUAAAGUAGAAUAUGUAUUGGGCAGUAUCUGUGCUUAUCAGAAUAUUGAUCAAUGUUGUAGAUUCUUGCUAGUAAUCUUUGUUGCCAUUGCAUUUGGUUGGUUUACUUCACAUUCAUACUAGUUGUCAAAGUGAUAAAAUAUCUGAAAAUUGUCAAUAAGUAAUAUAGUCUUUUUUUUAUCAUCUUACUAGUAACAAUCAGAAUGGAACAUGUUAUAUUUUCCAGCUCUUGUUUAAUGGAAUGCCAGUCAUUGGAAUUAUUCUUGAACAAUCAAAAGAAAAUAAAAUUUAAUUCUAAUGGAAUAAGAUUCAAAUGUAUUUUGAUGAAUGAGGAGUAUAUUGAUGACAAUUACAUGGUUCAUGUAAUUUGUUCAUGCAGAUGCCAUAUCCAAACUGCAUGAUAUGUAUCUGUGAAUGACAGUGUUAAAGCUUCUACUGCUUUAAUUCACAGAUAAGAAAAUAAAAGAAAUCCAUGUUUUGCUUUCAUUUCUUCAUGUACUGUAUUUUUCCUUUGUCUGUCCAAAGAUGAAAAAAAAUAAUGUGCAUGUAGUCUCUGAACCCCUUAGGCAGCAUAAAUUUUCAUGAUAGACAUUGAUAGUUUAACUCUUCUAGACA